GACGAACGCUGGCGGCGUGCUUAACACAUGCAAGUCGAACGGAAAGGCCCUGCUUGCUGGGUACUCGAGUGGCGAACGGGUGAGUAACACGUGGGUGAUCUGCCCUGCACUUCGGGAUAAGCCUGGGAAACUGGGUCUAAUACCGGAUAGGAGCCAUUUUUAGUGUGAUGGUUGGAAAGAUUUUUCGGUGUUGGAUGAGCUCGCGGCCUAUCAGCUUGUUGGUGGGGUAAUGGCAUACCAAGGCGGCGAAGGGUAGCCGGCCUGAGAGGGUGGACGGCCACCUUGGGACUGCGAUACGGCCCAGAGUCCUACGGGAGGCAGCAGUGGGGAAUCUUGCACAGUGGGCGCAAGCCUGAUGCAGAGACGCCGCGUUGGGGAUGACGGCCUUCGGGUUGUAAACUGCUUUCGCUAGGGACGAAGCUUUUGUGACGGUACCUAGAUAAGAAGCACCGGCUAACUACGUG
Molecule: ribosomal RNA, 464 nt
Filed under: uncultured bacterium
Lineage: Bacteria
Description: partial 16S ribosomal RNA
Rfam family: Bacterial small subunit ribosomal RNA
Source: RNAcentral